GCGGGGAUGGCGAAAUUGGUAGACGCACCAGGUUUAGGUCCUGACGCCCGUUGAGGGCGUGCCGGUUCAAGUCCGGCUCUCCGCA
RNAcentral lists this transfer RNA (85 nucleotides) under Mesosutterella multiformis. It matches the Rfam family "tRNA". Rfam says of the family: Transfer RNA (tRNA) molecules are approximately 80 nucleotides in length. Their secondary structure includes four short double-helical elements and three loops (D, anti-codon, and T loops). Further hydrogen bonds mediate the characteristic L-shaped molecular structure. tRNAs have two regions of fundamental functional importance: the anti-codon, which is responsible for specific mRNA codon recognition, and the 3' end, to which the tRNAs corresponding amino acid is attached (by aminoacyl-tRNA synthetases). tRNAs cope with the degeneracy of the genetic code in two manners: having more than one tRNA (with a specific anti-codon) for a particular amino acid; and 'wobble' base-pairing, i.e. permitting non-standard base-pairing at the 3rd anti-codon position. The record is from Rfam by way of RNAcentral. Lineage: Bacteria; Pseudomonadati; Pseudomonadota; Betaproteobacteria; Burkholderiales; Sutterellaceae.